RNAcentral lists this ribosomal RNA (1000 nucleotides) under uncultured bacterium. RNAcentral describes it as "bacterial SSU rRNA". It matches the Rfam family "Bacterial small subunit ribosomal RNA", at positions 509 to 1504 of the family's 1533-position model. The record is from RNAcentral.
CAGCAGCCGCGGUAAUACGUAUGGGGCAAGCGUUGUUCGGAUUUACUGGGCGUAAAGGGAGCGCAGGCGGAAUGGUAAGUUAGAAGUGUAAUCUACAGGCUCAACCUGUAGCUCGCUUUUAAUACUGCCAUUCUUGAGUAUGGAAGAGGGAGAUGGAAUUCCAGGUGUAGCGGUGGAAUGCGUAGAUAUCUGGAAGAACACCAGUUGCGAAGGCGGUCCCCUGGUCCAAUACUGACGCUGAGGCUCGAAAGCUAAGGGAGCAAACAGGAUUAGAUACCCUGGUAGUCUUAGCCGUAAACGAUGGACACUAGUUGUUGGAGGGGUUCUCCCUUCAGUGACGUAGCUAACGCGUUAAGUGUCCCGCCUGGGGAGUACGCUCGCAAGGGUGAAACUCAAAGGAAUUGACGGGGGCCCGCACAAGCGGUGGAGCAUGUGCUUUAAUUCGAUGCAACGCGAAGAACCUUACCUGGACUUGACAUGGGAGUGAAAGGUUUCAGAGAUGAAAUCCCUUCCUUCGGGAACACUCUACACAGGUGCUGCAUGGUUGUCGUCAGCUCGUGUCGUGAGAUGUUGGGUUAAGUCCCGCAACGAGCGCAACCCCUGUCCUUAGUUGCCAUCAGGUAAUGCUGGGAACUCUAGGGAGACUGCCUGGUUCAACCAGGAGGAAGGUGGGGAUGACGUCAAAUCCUCAUGGCCCUUACGUCCAGGGCUAGACACGUGCUACAAUGGCAGGUACAACGGGCUGCGAACUCGCGAGAGUAAGCCAAUCCCUUAAAACCUGUCUCAGUUCGGAUUGGAGUCUGCAAUUCGACUUCAUGAAGGUGGAAUCGCUAGUAAUCGCGGAUCAGCAUGCCGCGGUGAAUACGUUCCCGGGCCUUGUACACACCGCCCGUCAAGCCACGAAAGAUGGCAGUACCCGAAGUCGCUUCUCUAACCGCAAGGAAGAGUGCGCCGAAGGUAAGGCUGUUAAUUGGGACUAAGUCGUAACAAGGUAACCGUA